UGGGGGAUAUUGGACAAUGGGGGCAACCCUGAUCCAGCGACGCCGCGUGAGGGAAGAAGGUUUUCGGAUUGUAAACCUCUGUUGACGGAGAAAAAGAUGAUGGUAUCCGUUUAGAAAGCCACGGCUAACUACGUGCCAGCAGCCGCGGUAAUACGUAGGUUGCAAGCGUUGUCCGGAUUUACUGGGUGUAAAGGGCGUGUAGGCGGAGGAGCAAGUCAGAUGUGAAAUCCCGGGGCUUAACCCCGGAACUGCAUUUGAAACUGUUUCCCUUGAGUAUCGGAGAGGCAAGCGGAAUUCCUAGUGUAGCGGUGAAAUGCGUAGAUAUUAGGAGGAACACCAGUGGCGAAGGCGGCUUGCUGGACGACAACUGACGCUGAGGCGCGAAAGCGUGGGAGCAAACAGGAUUAGAUACCCUGGUAGU
This 421-nucleotide ribosomal RNA is filed under the name uncultured Clostridium sp. RNAcentral's name for it is "bacterial SSU rRNA". It matches the Rfam family "Bacterial small subunit ribosomal RNA", at positions 355 to 794 of the family's 1533-position model. Lineage: Bacteria; Bacillati; Bacillota; Clostridia; Eubacteriales; Clostridiaceae. The record is from RNAcentral.